CCAGCCCCACGCCCCUCCCUCAUCCGCCGCCACUCCCUCCCUCCUCCUCCUCCUCCUCCUUCUACGCCGUAGGAGCCUCGCCGCCGCCGGCUACUCCUCCACCGCCUCGCCUCUUCCUCCUCCCUGCCUUCCCAUCGCUCGCGUGCAGGCCAUCGUGGCCACGCGCUUCACGGGCGAACCUGAUUUCCAACGCCUGCUCCGGGUUUGCGCAGGACGGGCUCCCCUGCAUCCUCCUCCUCGCGGCCGAGGACGACACCUUCGGAGUGAGCUGCGGCGCACGAUUCGAUCUGCGGGAGAGAGAGAAGAUGAGAGGGAGAAGAUGGAAGGAGAGGAGGGAGAAAGAGAGAGAGAGAGGAAAGAGGAGAAGGAGGCGCCGUCGUCCCCUCCACCCAGCCAGCCGUCGCCGCACCUCCUCCACCCGGCCAGCCGCCGCCACUCGCGCCCGUCUCCUCCGGCCAGCCUCCGCCCGCAACCUCCCCCCUCCCGUUUUCAGAAGGGAAGGGAAGGUAAGAGACGAGGGAGAGCGAGCGGGUCAGGCGACGGGAAGGGAAGAGGAGAGGAGAGGAAGCCUUGCCGCUGGUCUAGGAGGAGCUCAUCUGCCUGCUUUGAGAUGAAGAGGUGAUAGUUGGAGGAGGGAAUAUGACGUUGGCAGAAGAAGAAGGUUUUCACUGGAAGAAAGAUAACUAAGAUCCCUUCUUUUGACAUGUGCAUCAAGAAUGAACAAAAAGAAGCCAUGUUGUUACUAGGAAUACUGCCACACUGCUACGGUCUUGAAUUUGUGGAAGGCAGCAAUGUGCUUGGUCUGGAGUUGGUGUCGCCAUGUGCUAGCAGCCCAUCACUUGAUCUUGAGAUGGUCCCCUGCAUCGCGGAUGCCACAAAUAAGGAAGGCAGACAUCAUUGACGUGCGUGGUAAGAGCUCCAUCUCCCCCACCCAUAGCCCCCAACUUCUGUUUUGGAAGCAUGUCUUCAUCACCAUCUGCGCCAGUAUCUUGCUUUCGCCUUUCUCCUGUCUUGUGCUCCACCAUUUGUCUCCCCAUCCAGACACACAAUAAACCAGCAUAUCUAAGAGGUCGGUGAGCUGAAGUUUUCCAUGCAGAGUAACUGUGAGAAACAGAAAUUGCUUGAGGCUACUGUGAGAUCUGAAAUCUACCAGUCGGAACUGGCGAACCUAAAAAGAACUUUGACCCUCAUUGGCUUUUUGUGUGGGUUUGCAUCUGUUAUGAUGUGUCUUUAUCAAGUUGCUCCUCCAUACCCCGAGACGCUUGAUGGUGCUGAAUCGUCCCAUCCACAGCAACCAUGUUGACAAGCUGGCAUCUUUGUUCUAUUCUAUUGACUUCAUGUGGCAUUAUGUAUGAAGCCCUUUAAGCACAAACCUCGCAAGGACCGUCAUGGGAUUUGGAGUGCUCAAUGGCAUCUUAAUUGGACUUCUCAAUCAGAGUCUAGGUUUCAACUCUGUUGAGUUCUAUCAGAGCAAGUCGAGCGCAUUAGUUGGAUCCAGCUUCUUGAUAUUGCAGAGGGACUCGUCAAAAGGACGGCGCCUCCCUGCGUUCUCGAUCUGACGCCGCCACAUAUCGUGAUUCUGGAUUGGGCGCAGGUCGUCGCCAUAAGAGAGCCUGGCUGGUGUGGUCUUCAUGCUUGGUGUGGAGAAGCAGGGGAGGAUGAGUAGGAUGGGCAUGGGGAAGGAGCAGCCAGGACGGAGCUCUGGCGUUGCUCGCGUCAUGGUCAAAUGGAGCCGGCCCUCGCUAUGGGCUGCUGAUCGCCGUCGUCGUUCCCCAAUCUCAGUUGCUCAUCUUUGGCUCACCAUCUUCCUCCCCUGAUCAUGCAUCUAUUUUAGAUCAUUUAAUUAUGCUAUAUCAUAUAUGUUGUUUAGUUCAGACUUGUGCAUGUGCAUGCAUUGGCAUUGAUUUAGACAGAGAUAUUGCAUGAUUUGUACAUAAAAGGAGUACGGAUGGUCUAAGAAUAAAUGUUCGAAUAUAGUAGUGAGAUUUGGGUA
Triticum aestivum (bread wheat) is the source of this 1993-nucleotide long non-coding RNA. RefSeq lists it as uncharacterized. The record is from RefSeq and is a predicted model, not a curated record. Lineage: Eukaryota; Viridiplantae; Streptophyta; Magnoliopsida; Poales; Poaceae. The transcript has 8 exons.